RNAcentral lists this unclassified non-coding RNA (89 nucleotides) under Pseudomonas sp. Z003-0.4C(8344-21). Lineage: Bacteria; Pseudomonadati; Pseudomonadota; Gammaproteobacteria; Pseudomonadales; Pseudomonadaceae. The record is from RNAcentral.
UGUAGGAGUGAGCCUGCUCGCGAUAGCGGUGUGUCAGUCGACGAAUAUGUACCUGAUACACCGCUAUCGCGAGCAGGCUCACUCCUACA